GUGAAUCAUCGAAUCUUUGAACGCAAAUUGCACUCUCUGGUAUUCCGGAGAGUAUGUCUGUUUGAGGGUCAGUUUAAAUAAAAAUCGGUGUGGUUGCUGCCUUUCUUGGUGACGCACCGGAUUUGGGUCGUCUUGCCUUCGGUUAAGUCAUCUAAAAUUUUGUUUGAUUUUUUCGAACAUAUUUAAAUGAUUUUACGUAUGUUUGCGAUAUCGAUUACUUGGUGUGGUCAUUCUCCU
This 237-nucleotide unclassified non-coding RNA is filed under the name Glomeraceae sp. RNAcentral describes it as "partial contains 5.8S ribosomal RNA and internal transcribed spacer 2". The stretch from base 1 to 71 matches the Rfam family "5.8S ribosomal RNA", at positions 84 to 154 of the family's 154-position model. Lineage: Eukaryota; Fungi; Glomeromycota; Glomeromycetes; Glomerales; Glomeraceae. The record is from RNAcentral.